Molecule: long non-coding RNA, 1288 nt
Organism: Carassius auratus (goldfish)
Lineage: Eukaryota; Metazoa; Chordata; Actinopteri; Cypriniformes; Cyprinidae
Exons: 3
Source: RefSeq, a predicted model, not a curated record
UUAUAUGAAAAAAAUAAUUUGAUGCAGACUGACCACUGACUGAUUUGAAUUUGUCACUGAUAAGUUACAGAAGAAACUGUGAAAAACACCUACUAUGUCAAGUUAAAUUUCUUUCAUGGAACACUUCUUCAGCACUCUUAAAAGUUCCUGGCAGUGGCAGUUCGGUCUACAUAGCGUGAGGAGUUGUCAGCUUUUAUCUUUCUCCUCUUUAGUUCUGCAUCGUGAGCUGGUCCCCAACCCUGUGUGAUGUCCAUUAGCCAGCAGACAGGAUAUAGGUAUCCCACUGUGACCUGGUGGAACUGCUGAACUGAAAUGGUUGAAAAUCAGAAGAUUCACCUAGUAAAUUAUUUAAUGCUACAUAAAUUUUUAAAUACAGAAACGAAAGCAUUGUUCAUCACAUUUUUAAAAAAUGAGGUUCUAAGUUUCACCGUUCAAGGAUUUCAAAGCAUUGUAUCCGAUAUUUUAUGCUGAUCGCUUCACCCUUAUUUUACAACAUAUAGCAAAAUUUUAGUCAUUUUAUGCAUUUUAAUUUUUAGUAUUGCAGAUCACAUCAAUAGAAAUAGGAACUUUAAAAAAUAAUAGUUUAAAUUGUUUUAAUAAAAGAAUUAGAAUUAACUUAAAUAGAUUAGUCUCUGUAAUAUUUCCAUGUUUAUUAGUAAAAAUGCCUGUUCCAUGAAGCUGGGGCCAAAAAGAGAUAGCCAAGAUCCUUGAACACAAGGGGUUGCUACCACCUUGUGGCAACAUUAUGUGCCCACACCUAGGUGUAAAAACUUUUAUUUUCAAGUAGCUCCAGCAUCACAUUUAUCAUUGAAUGUCCUCACUGCCAGUCCAGAUUUUCAGUAAAACAAAAAUCAAUUCUUGGAUCGACCACACAAAAUAAUCACUGUAUUUAAUUGUGCUGGUGUCAUUGCUUUAUUUGCACACAACCACUGAUUCCAGUCAAAGAGAUCAAAGUAGAAAAAAGUUAUAUGUGCCACUAGUGUCUGUUUGAGCUCUCAAGUGUUACGUGCAACCACAGACAUUUACCAUAUGCAACAAUAGUACUGACGAGAGAGCAAUAAGUUGAUUCACUGUCUUCACCAUCAGAUUAAAUAAUACUGUCAUACUAAACAACAUAAAAGUUAAUAACAUUCCAGUGAUAUUGCAGGACAAGUUCGUUUGUUUCAACAAUAUGUACAGCACCACAAUGGAUUAACAAUGUAAAAAAUAAGAGGCUCAAUUUUGUAGCAAAAUAUCUGUACAUUUAAAAAAAAGACUUUAUUUUUUGUCCAAUGACAUGUCUUCGUUU